GUAUUAAUUCCAUAAUUGAUAUCCUAAACUAUCAAACUGUUCAUUUUGCCCAGUCUAUUAUAGGUUAACUGUGUUAAGAGUGAAUCCAUAAAUACAUUUAUCAAAUAGUUUUUUUCCUCUUUUAUUCUGAACUUCAGUGUACAUUAGUUUUCUUUAUCCCUGUUUUAGUUUUUUAAUUUGUGACUUUUUGUCCAUUUAGUGUAUCUAUUUGAUGCUACUAGCGAAGUUUAAAAAGUGGUGUUUGAGUGAUAAUUGUUUUGGCCAAAAGUGUCAUUGAUGCUUCCAAGUGCUGCAAAAUAACGCUUAACUACCGGUACUUCUUUCUCUGUUUUCAGGCUGAGGCUGAAACCCGUUGCUGAUGUACCAAGAUUCCAUUUUGGUAGUGAAAAGAAUCACACCCUGAUUACAAAGCUGAUUCAUACUACCUUUGCCCUGCGACGCGAAGAGAUCAUCAGCAAUGACCUACCAGUAGCAGAGAUCCUGGAUCGCUGGCCUGCUCUGAAAAUGGAGUCCCAGAUCUGUGCAGAGUUCCACAGGAUUACAAACCUCAACCUAAAGAACCACUUGUUUGCUGUGUUAGACCAACAUGCCCCCAGGCUCCAGAGCUUAUUUAGAAAGAAAGCUGCUCGCACAGGGAAAGUUUCUGAUGUUCUGUCUCAGCUCUUCAGAACCUAUGAUCUCCAGGAACAAGUUAAUAUCCAUGUUUGACGUGCUGUUGUGCUUCACGGCCUUCCUUCCUAUUUGCACGAAGACACCUCCACCUUCAUCAAAACCUGGGAUAUGACGCACUCCGAUGAACCAGAUAUUAGGAAAGUGCCACUUGGACUCCUCCUAAUUGGAGCCAGUUCCACAUUCUUCUGUCUCGAGAAAAUCGCAGUUUUGAUUGAGGGUAACAUUAUCAUUGAUUUCACCACCCUGUCUGCUGCAUUUGUAGUAUUAUUUGCACUGACGUAUGCCCUGCAUCUAAACUACCCAAAAUGUUUGGCCAACACAUUUGACUUCAUUCAGAAAGUCUUGAUGGGAAGUUGAGGCCCAAAGUGCUGAGUCUUGAAAAUGAUCUGUUGGCAGCAGAAUAAUAUUAAGGGUUCCUACACAGCCCUGAAGUGCCAGUUAGAGCAAGUAUUUCAGCUGACCAUUUUUCAGUCUGGAUAAGUAAAUAAAAAUAAAAAAGUUGCAAUAGAGAAAAUUUUAUUUGCAGAUUCUACGUUUUAUUUCAUUACCUAACUGACAUAAGGCACUAAGAAGUUUUAUAAAAUGGUUUUAUGUAUUUUUAAAGUUUCUAAAUAAGUAGUUUUCUGUGUAAAAUUUUAUUGCACUGUUGGUGACAGCAUGGUUGCACUCUAGAUACUAAAAGGGUUCCCUAUACUAUUUCAGUGUAUUAGCAUCACUGUAAUUUAAUUCAGUUUUCCCAUCUGAUGAUGCAGGAUUUUAAGUAUUUUGUUUUCUUUUUUAAUAAAAAUCUAUUGAUACU
This is a long non-coding RNA of Girardinichthys multiradiatus, 1471 nucleotides long. RefSeq lists it as uncharacterized. The transcript is spliced from 4 exons. NCBI's taxonomy places the organism in Eukaryota, Metazoa, Chordata, Actinopteri, Cyprinodontiformes, Goodeidae. The record is from RefSeq and is a predicted model, not a curated record.